AUUGAACGCUGGCGGCAGGCCUAACACAUGCAAGUCGAACGAGUGGCGGACGGGUGAGUAAUGUCUGGGAAACUGCCUGAUGGAGGGGGAUAACUACUGGCAACGGUAGCUAAUACCGCAUACCAUCAGAUGUGCCCAGAUGGGAUUAGUUUGUUGGUGGGGUAACGCCUCACAAAGGCGACGAUCCCUAGCUGGUCGGAGAGGAGGACCAGCACCACUGGAACGGAGACACGGUCCAGAGUCCUACGGAGGCCGGCAGUGGGGAACAUUGCACAAUGGGGGCAGGCCUGAUGCAGCCAUGCCGCGUGUAUGAAGAGGGCCUUCGGGUUGUAAGGUACUUUCAGCGGGACGGCGUUACCCGCAGAGGAAGCACCGGCUAACUCCGUGCCAGCCGCCGCGGUAAUAC
This 406-nucleotide ribosomal RNA is filed under the name uncultured bacterium. RNAcentral describes it as "partial 16S ribosomal RNA". It matches the Rfam family "Bacterial small subunit ribosomal RNA", at positions 29 to 526 of the family's 1533-position model. The record is from RNAcentral.